UACGUAGGGGGCAAGCGUUGUCCGGAUUUAUUGGGCGUAAAGAGCGUGUAGGCGGCCAGGUAGGUCUGCUGUGAAAACUCGAGGCUUAACCUCGAGAUGUCGGCGGAAACUAUCUGGCUAGAGUCCGGAAGAGGAGAGCGGAAUUCCUGGUGUAGCGGUGAAAUGCGCAGAUAUCAGGAAGAACACCCGUGGCGAAAGCGGCUCUCUGGAACGGUACUGACGCUGAGACGCGAAAGCGUGGGGAGCGAACAGG
RNAcentral lists this ribosomal RNA (253 nucleotides) under uncultured bacterium. Its description in RNAcentral is "partial 16S ribosomal RNA". It matches the Rfam family "Bacterial small subunit ribosomal RNA", at positions 524 to 776 of the family's 1533-position model. The record is from RNAcentral.